AUUUGAAUUUUAAUAUUGACACUUUAUAAACGAAUUUAUAAAAUCAUAAUGUUAAAUCAUUUUUAUUAUAGGUGGCUGUUACAAGAUUUCGGCAAGGGAACGGUGAACUAUACGUUCACCUGGCUAAAGGUUGGGGUACAACCUUUAGCCUGCACUACUCUGAAUUUGAAGAGCUGUGUCUGGCUAAAGAGGCAUUUGACUCUAAAUUACAUCUGUUAGAUGAUCUGUCUAAUGUAGACACACAAGCUGCAGGCGGAUCACCUCAGGAGAGGGCAACGGUCCCUCCAAAGAUAUCACCUUCGAUGCCCUCUACAUCUGGUUCCACGACAUCGCCUGCAUCGUCGUCAUCUCACAGAUAUCAACCAUAUUAGCAAAUCUAUAGUCUGCCUAUACGGUAAGUAGCUUUGUUUUCCUCAUAAAUAUACACGUAUAUUUUUGUAACUAUAGCAAAGCUACUAAAUACCGUAUAGACAGACAUUAACUGUGUUUCAUAAAUAAACAUGUAUAUUUAUGAGAAAAAAAGCUACUAAAUAUCGUAUAGGUAGAAUAA
Molecule: long non-coding RNA, 550 nt
Organism: Pecten maximus
Lineage: Eukaryota; Metazoa; Mollusca; Bivalvia; Pectinida; Pectinidae
Exons: 2
Source: RefSeq, a predicted model, not a curated record